AACACAACUCAAGGGUUACAAAAUCCCGAAGACAACUAAUGUUAAAAGACAAAAAGAGAACUGGAAAACAACCUGUUAAACAGUCAACCCUGAUGAAAUGGCAUGCUUUAAUGUUUGUUGAACAAAUUACCUUUGUAUUGUACACUGUAAAAAA
Molecule: long non-coding RNA, 154 nt
Organism: Sinocyclocheilus rhinocerous
Lineage: Eukaryota; Metazoa; Chordata; Actinopteri; Cypriniformes; Cyprinidae
Exons: 2
Source: RefSeq, a predicted model, not a curated record